This 497-nucleotide ribosomal RNA is filed under the name uncultured bacterium. RNAcentral's name for it is "partial 16S ribosomal RNA". It matches the Rfam family "Bacterial small subunit ribosomal RNA", at positions 28 to 507 of the family's 1533-position model. The record is from RNAcentral.
GAUGAACGCUGGCGGCGUGCCUAAUACAUGCAAGUCGAGCGAACGGACGAGAAGCUUGCUUCUCUGAUGUUAGCGGCUGACGGGUGAGUAACACGUGGAUAACCUACCUAUAAGACUGGGAUAACUUCGGGAAACCGGAGCUAAUACCGGAUAAUAUUUUGAACCGCAUGGUUCAAAAGUGAAAGACGGUCUUGCUGUCACUUAUAGAUGGAUCCGCGCUGCAUUAGCUAGUUGGUAAGGGAACGGCUUACCAAGGCAACGAUGCAUAGCCGACCUGAGAGGGUGAUCGGCCACACUGGAACUGAGACACGGUCCAGACUCCUACGGGAGGCAGCAGUAGGGAAUCUUCCGCAAUGGGCGAAAGCCUGACGGAGCAACGCCGCGUGAGUGAUGAAGGUCUUCGGAUCGUAAAACUCUGUUAUUAGGGAAGAACAUAUGUGUAAGUAACUGUGCACAUCUUGACGGUACCUAAUCAGAAAGCCACGGCUAACUACGUG